UUUUUUUUUUUUUUUUUUUUUUUUAUUCCAGGUCUUUUCUGGUUAAUUAGUAAUGAACCAAGUAGCGCCUAAGCUCCCAUUAUGCCACUUUUCUUUUACACAUCUGUCUCUCUGGUGUCACAUAUCACUAUAAGCAAACAAACGUGAGAGGAUUUGGUUUGUACUAUUUUUCUGGUUUUGCUUCUUCUCGGGAAGAUAAAUUUUAUUUAAUUUUUCUAAUGGAUACUUAGAUACACUUCUUAUAUCUCACAUAAUUGCAUUUCAUAAUCAACUAUUGGAGCUCUAUCAACAUCCAAAAAUAACACUUCCCUUUCCUACCUAAAUUCAGAACCAAUUGAGAGAGAGAGGGAGAGUCAGACCAGAGGCCUCAAAGAAGGUGGAUUUAAGAACUUGACUUUAGAGCUGUGGUCAAAAAUACCCUCCAGCAUUUAGACCCUGAAUGAGGAAACUGGACCCAGCAAGUCCAAGGCAGAGCUGGAGAACUGCAGGCCUUCCCCAGGCCACCCCCACAGACCGAGUCUGCCCUGAAUUGCUCAUCCCCUUGGGAGAGGAAUGAGUCAGGGUGACCAGAACUGGGACUGACAUGUUCAAGGAAGUUUCUCCAUUUGGAAAACAGGAAGCCAAGAGAAAAGGAGAUUCCUCUGCAAUGGGAUACAGAAAGAAACCCGAUUUACCUUUGUCUCCUGCGAUAACAUUAACUCUCAUUCCCUUCAUUUUGGCCUUAUGUGUUUUAUUUUACGUAGAGAAUUGUCUUUUAAGUAACAACUUAGGUAACACUCUUGAAUAUAAUUAUUUGAAACUUUUCCUGCCUCACGUUUCUCAAAUUGAGGUCCUUUCACUCUCCCCUUAGAGAUCUAUCGUUGUUCUAUUGUAACUGCUACACAGGAAAAUCAAUUAGUAUUUUUACAGCAUGGCCUUUAAUAAUGUUUAUAUUUUAAUAUUUACAAAGUGCAUUUUCCUGAGUUGAUUUUAUCAGUGACUUUACUUCCAAAAUAAUUUCCUUUUAGGAAGAUAUCAGAACAGUACACGUAACUGUCCCCAAAUCGUAUCUGGAAUAAAAUCACUUGGGAACAUGAGUCAGAAAAGGUGUGUAACCAGCAUAGCUCUGGUACUGAAAUAGAUUUCCCAGGGCAGGCCAAAGAACAUGGUAGAUUAUUUAAAGAUUUCAAGACCUGGGACAUAGAUUUUAAGAAUGUCAAACAUAGGACAGGGAGGAGUCCACGGGGAUGUUUUUCUGCAUUGUGAUUUGUAUCACUAUCUGGCUUUUAAAUGACCUCCUGCAUACUCCUACCAAGAGAAAGAAAGAAGAGAGAGAAAGAGAGACACUCUCUUAUAACUGCUCUAAUAGGCAUCCUUAAAAUUGGAUACUUGGACUUCCUUCAACUUCUGUCUUUAAAAUACCCAUUGUUUAAGAGGCAAAUAGGAUGAGUUAAUCCAUUAUGAGAAAGUGAAUCCUUUGCUUCCGCCAGAUUUAGCUUCACUGUCAGCAGAUCUGUCAUUUUAUUCAAAGUUCUUGGCCUUACUGGCUAUCACCCCUCUCUCUCAUCUUUGGAAUGGCUUCAACAUCCCCUCUGUGUGGUCCAAUUGCCUCACCUAAAUUUGCAUUAGGCUGAUUCAUUCAUUCCCCAGCAGGGUUAUUUGAUGUGCUUUUCUGCUAAUGGCAUCCAUCGUGUAAAGCUGUCUGUAACCAGCUCUUAUCACAGUAGGAUUCAGAAUGGUCAUUUUGGAAAGACUGCAGGUCUUAAUAGAAGGUAGAGAAUUCAAUAAGAUGCACACAGAGAGAGUUUAAGAAUUGUUUUUAUAAGACUUGAAGUCCAUUUUGCUUAUAUUAAAAUGGUUUUCUGCAGA
RNAcentral lists this long non-coding RNA (1848 nucleotides) under Canis lupus familiaris (dog). Its description in RNAcentral is "lncRNA (ENSCAFG00845006451.1)". Lineage: Eukaryota; Metazoa; Chordata; Mammalia; Carnivora; Canidae. The record is from RNAcentral.